GACGAACGCUGGCGGCGUGCUUAACACAUGCAAGUCGAGCGGUAAGGCCUCUUCGGGGGUACACGAGCGGCGAACGGGUGAGUAACACGUGGGUGACCUGCCCUCAGCUCUGGGAUAAGCCUGGGAAACUGGGUCUAAUACCGGAUAUGACCUUUCCUCGCAUGGGGUUUGGUGGAAAGUUUUUUCGGCUGGGGAUGGGCCCGCGGCCCAUCAGCUUGUUGGUGGGGUGAUGGCCUACCAAGGCGACGACGGGUAGCCGGCCUGAGAGGGCGACCGGCCACACUGGGACUGAGACACGGCCCAGACUCCUACGGGAGGCAGCAGUGGGGAAUAUUGCGCAAUGGGCGGAAGCCUGACGCAGCGACGCCGCGUGGAGGAUGACGGCCUUCGGGUUGUAAACCUCUUUCGACCCCGACGAAUUUGGACGGUAGGGGUAGAAGAAGCACCGGCCAACUACGUG
Molecule: ribosomal RNA, 460 nt
Filed under: uncultured bacterium
Lineage: Bacteria
Description: partial 16S ribosomal RNA
Rfam family: Bacterial small subunit ribosomal RNA
Source: RNAcentral